Molecule: long non-coding RNA, 529 nt
Organism: Momordica charantia (bitter melon)
Lineage: Eukaryota; Viridiplantae; Streptophyta; Magnoliopsida; Cucurbitales; Cucurbitaceae
Source: RefSeq, a predicted model, not a curated record
GGGAAAGCAAAAUCAAAUCAAAACCCUAGCCUCCCCAAUAUUCUUCUUCUUCCUCCUCUCUUGGUAGCCGCCUACCCCCUCCUUCUUUUGUCUCCGGCGACCCGCCACCAAUCGGCACGGUCAAAUCCCAUCCCACGCCCAAAUUUCUUUCUUCUUUCUUCUUUCUUCUUCUUCUUCAAUCGCUUCUUCUUUCUUCGUCUUUUCUAUUGCUUCUCACGCUAUUGAUGGCACUACUAGGUUCUUCAUGAGCACCAAUUUAUCACUACUGAUUAUGUUAAAUUUUAGCCCUGACAAUGAUGAACUCCCUAGUGAGAAUAUCAAACGAGUUGGAAUAUACAACUCCAUGAUAUCCAAUGGUCUUUCACGACCCCAAAGAAGUCGACAAUUAGGAAUGCAACUAAUUGAUGGAUGAGCUUCUUCGUUGGGGUUGGUGUGUGGGGAACAUGUUUAAUUCUGUAAUUUUGUAAUUUGUGUUUGAGAAUACUAAUAUAUUUUAAAUUAAUAUAUUAGCUUCCUUGUUCAUGUUUAA